UACAGAGGUGGCAAGCGUUGUUCGGAAUUACUGGGCGUAAAGGGCGCGUAGGCGGUCUUCUAAGUCUUGUGUGAAAUCCCUCGGCUCAACUGUGGAACUGCCUCGGAUACUGGGUGCCUCGAGGGUGGUAGGGGUAUGCGGAACUAUCGGUGGAGCGGUGAAAUGCGUUGAUAUCGAUAGGAACUCCGGUGGCGAAGGCGGCAUACUGGACCACAUCUGACGCUGAGGCGCGAAAGCCAGGGGAGCGAACGGG
Molecule: ribosomal RNA, 253 nt
Filed under: uncultured bacterium
Lineage: Bacteria
Description: partial 16S ribosomal RNA
Rfam family: Bacterial small subunit ribosomal RNA
Source: RNAcentral